Molecule: long non-coding RNA, 1856 nt
Filed under: Acyrthosiphon pisum (pea aphid)
Lineage: Eukaryota; Metazoa; Arthropoda; Insecta; Hemiptera; Aphididae
Description: uncharacterized LOC103310469
Source: RNAcentral
AAAAAAGAAAAUUAACAAUAAAAAUCAAAGUAUAUUAAAACGGCUGUGCAUAUAGAUAUAGUCUACAAUAAAGGAAAAAAAAACAAUGGACAAUUUCUUAGAAACUAUUUCGUACAGCCGGGAUUAAACUCCACCUACUUUUUAUAAUUAAUAAAAUAUUAAAAUUAUUAAUAUAUUAAUAAUCAAGGACUAUCGAGGAUUGAUUGACGAGUAUCACUCAUCAACUAUCAAGUGAUAACUUUAAUUAUUAAGUAUUUCUAAUCUGUGUAGGCUCCUAAUAUUAUUUAUUGCGUUUUUGAUUUACUAUUCAUUCUAUGUUACAUGGUCUAGACACCCUUCUCAGUUCAUGCCUUGGAUACAUUUUCUGUUUGAUCCACAUAAUACUAGAUUCUCGACUUGGAGACCAUACUAGCCAGAUUGAGAGUUUUCGGCCCACCAAGAUUUUAAAUUUCUAUCGAAGAAAUCACCUAUGGUCCAAAAAAAUUUUUUCUUUUUUCUUUAUCCACAACAAGCGCAGUCUUAUCUACUUUUUAAAUUCAAUUAUUGCAAAUACGUUCCUAAGUGAGUAUAUUGCACAAUUUGCACAAAAUAAAAAAUAUUAUAAUACGUACCUAUAUUACCUAUACUAGUAUAGUCGUAUAUUAGUAUAUAUUUAGUACGGCGAACAAAAUAUUUUAAUGUAAGGACGCACUAAACCACAGUAAACAUAAAAACACGUAACCUUUUUGAUUCAGGACUGUGUAGUCGAUGUAGAAAAAACUAAAUUAUCAAGUUAUUUCAAAUAAGUCAAUAAGUAAUAAUAAUGUGAAAUGUAAACUUGUGUGCUGUGUGUCACGUAGUAUGUGUGAGUUCCAUUAAUUGUUGCCCGUUGGACGAUAUUGCGAUAAUAGUGGGAAAACCCAUACAAUAAUUGAAUAAUAAUUACGGUCAAUUGGAAUUAUAUUUAUUUUUAUAAACAUGCAGGCAGGACGCAGCACACAACUAUUAUUCACUUGGUACAUACUGCAACGCUAGGCUUUACUGCUCUAGCGUGUAUUAUCGAUUGACAAUUCUUGAGAAUUAAAUAACCAAUACAGUAUACACUAUCAGUAUUAUACAGCAGACGCAUUUAUUGUUUUAACCGUGUAUUUGGAUCUACAUUUUAUUAUAUCACUAUCUAAAAAUACUAGACUACUUUUGUCCAAAAAUAAUAACGGCCCAAAUUUUACGCGCCCCACCGAGAUUUUCUCGGUAGCUCGCCGGUUCAAUCCAGGCCUGCAUACCAGGCUGGUGUCACCACAGAUAUAUACAAUAAUUAUUUAUUAAGUACCAGAGUUGUACCAUUGUAGUUCAUCGUACAGUCACCUUGAGCGUUAGCAUCGAAAAGUAGAAGGUUGCAUUAUGCAUGCACUGUCUAGCCGCUUGGUUUGAAAACAAUUGUUAUCAACGAUUUUAUCAUUUAACGUAUAAUACUUGUCUAUGACAUAUUUUACCUUUAGUGUUUAUUGUUUACUGGCAAUUUAUUUUGAAUUUUCUCACUCUCGUCUAGUAUUUUUUAUGUUAUUUGUACAUUUAUAACUGCCAAAUAACUUGUACGAUAUACAUCAUUUUUAAAAGUGAUAUCGUUGUUUUUGUCAGACAUUAACAGAAGUGUCCGUGAACAUAAAUGUGUUAUUAAAGACUGUACUGUCAAAAGUAAGUUUAUGAAGAAAUAAUGCCAUCAACAACAAGAUCGAAAACCCUCAAUAGACGUACCACAGAUAAAGAAAAUCAUUAUACUUGCAAUGCCUGUGGCAAAUCAUUUACCAAAAAAUAUAAAAUUGCUAUCCAUUGUCAAUUGCAUUUCGGUGAAAAUCCAUGUCGGAAUAAGGUUUGUG